GACGAACGCUGGCGGCGUGCUUAACACAUGCAAGUCGAACGGAAAGGCCCUGCUUUUGUGGGGUGCUCGAGUGGCGAACGGGUGAGUAACACGUGUGUAACCUGCCCUUGACUUUGGGAUAACUUCAGGAAACUGGGGCUAAUAUCGGAUAGGAGCUCCUGCUGCAUGGUGGGGGUUGGAAAGUUUCGGCGGUUGGGGAUGGACUCGCGGCUUAUCAGCUUGUUGGUGGGGUAGUGGCUUACCAAGGCUUUGACGGGUAGCCGGCCUGAGAGGUUGACCGGCCACAUUGGGACUGAGAUACGGCCCAGACUCCUACGGGAGGCAGCAGUGGGGAAUAUUGCACAAUGGGCGGAAGCCUGAUGCAGCAACGCCGCGUGCGGGAUGACGGCCUUCGGGUUAUAAACCGCUUUCGCCUGUGACGAAGCGUGAGUGACGGUAAUGGGUAAAGAAGUACCGGCUAACUACGUG
RNAcentral lists this ribosomal RNA (468 nucleotides) under uncultured bacterium. RNAcentral's name for it is "partial 16S ribosomal RNA". It matches the Rfam family "Bacterial small subunit ribosomal RNA", at positions 28 to 507 of the family's 1533-position model. The record is from RNAcentral.